UACGUAGGGGGCUAGCGUUGUCCGGAAUCAUUGGGCGUAAAGCGCGCGUAGGCGGUCAGGUAAGUCCGGUGUGAAAGUCAUAGGCUCAACCUAUGGAUGCCGCUGGAAACUGCCUGACUUGAGUCCGGAAGGGGCGAGUGGAAUUCCUGGUGUAGCGGUGAAAUGCGCAGAUAUCAGGAGGAACACCAAUGGCGAAGGCAGCUCUCUGGUACGUGACUGACACUGAGACGCGAAAGCGUGGGGAGCGAACAGG
Molecule: ribosomal RNA, 253 nt
Filed under: uncultured bacterium
Lineage: Bacteria
Description: partial 16S ribosomal RNA
Rfam family: Bacterial small subunit ribosomal RNA
Source: RNAcentral